UGGGGAAUAUUGCGCAAUGGGCGAAAGCCUGACGCAGCCAAUCCGCGUGGGUGAUGAAGGCCUUCGGGUUGUAAAGCCCUGUCGUGCGGGAAGAAACCUGACGGUACCGCACAAGAAAGCACCGGCUAACCCCGUGCCAGCAGCCGCGGUAAUACGGGGGGUGCAAGCGUUGCUCGGAAUCACUGGGCGUAAAGCGUCCGCAGGCGGACACGCAGGUCGGGUGUGAAAUCCCGGGGCUCAACCCCGGAACUGCAUUCGAAACCGCGCGUCUCGAGUACGGGAGAGGGUGGCGGAAUUCCUGGUGUAGAGGUGAAAUUCGUAGAUAUCAGGAGGAACACCGGUGGCGAAAGCGGCCACCUGGCCCGAUACUGACGCUCAUGGACGAAAGCGUGGGGAGCAA
RNAcentral lists this ribosomal RNA (400 nucleotides) under uncultured bacterium. RNAcentral describes it as "bacterial SSU rRNA". It matches the Rfam family "Bacterial small subunit ribosomal RNA", at positions 355 to 771 of the family's 1533-position model. The record is from RNAcentral.